Molecule: small RNA, 359 nt
Filed under: Arabidopsis thaliana (thale cress)
Lineage: Eukaryota; Viridiplantae; Streptophyta; Magnoliopsida; Brassicales; Brassicaceae
Description: ATSL237060
Source: RNAcentral
UGUUUAAAAAUCUUUUAAAAAUCCUUGUACAUCUUUUAAAACUCUUUUAAAAUUUCUUGUAAAUCUUUAAAACCGUUUUAAAAUCCCUUGUAAAUCUUUUAAAACGCUUUUAAACCCUUUAAAAAUCUUUUAAAAAUCUUUGUAAAUCUUUUAAAGCCCUUUAAAAUUCUUUGUAAAUAUUUUAAAACCUUUUAAAAUUCCUUGUAAAUGUAUUAAAACCCUUUUAAAAUCACUUGUAAAUCUUUUAAAACCCUUUUAAAAUCCCUUGUAAAUAUUUUAAAACCUUUUUUAAAUCGCUUGUAAAUCUUUUUAAAUUCUUUUCAAAUCCCUUGUAAAUCUUUUUCCCGCAAAAAUAUUUU